RNAcentral lists this long non-coding RNA (446 nucleotides) under Homo sapiens (human). RNAcentral's name for it is "HSALNT0296512". Lineage: Eukaryota; Metazoa; Chordata; Mammalia; Primates; Hominidae. The record is from RNAcentral.
CACGCGAUGAAUGAAUAAAGUACACUGACACACAGAUAUUCUGCUCUGCCAGUCCAGCUGAGGGUCCAAGCCCCUUACAGGCUCCCUGCUGAGCCCUGUAAACAGUUGCGACUCGGCAGGGAGCCUGUAAGCACCUGGGACCCUCAGAAUAUCUGUGUGUCAGCGUACUUUAUUCACCGGUCAUUGGGUCAGGGGUCUGCAAGGGACAGACUCCCCACAGCUGGUGACCCCUCGAGAGGAGCCCUGCCCCCAGCUGGUGCCCCAUGUGAGGCGCUGUGUGAGGAACUGUGUGAGGAAUGCUGUGAAGGAAACGCGACGAACCGCCCGAAAACGAAGCUAUGACCGAGAAACCAAGGAACUCACUAUCUUGUCCUCUUGGAUGCCAGCUAUAAAUUGAAUCAAGUUGGACACCGGAAUUUUGACCACUUUCCACCUUUCUAUCGUGG